GAUGAAGAACGCAGUGAAAUGCGAUAAGUAAUGUGAAUUGCAGAAUUCAGUGAAUCAUCGAAACUUUGAACGCACAUUGCGCCCGCCAGUAUUCUGGCGGGCAUGCCUGUUCGAGCGUCAUUUCAACCAUCAAGCCCCCGGCUUGUGUUGGGGACCUGCGGCUGCCGCAGGCCCUGAAAAGCAGUGGCGGGCUCGCUGUCACACCGAGCGUAGUAGCAUACAUCUCGCUCUGGGCGUGCUGCGGGUUCCGGCCGUUAAACCACCUUCAUAACCCAAGGUUGACCUCGGAUCAGGUAGGAAGACCCGCUGAACUUAAGCAUAUCAAUAAGCGGAGGA
Molecule: unclassified non-coding RNA, 336 nt
Filed under: soil metagenome
Description: partial contains 5.8S ribosomal RNA, internal transcribed spacer 2, and large subunit ribosomal RNA
Rfam family: 5.8S ribosomal RNA (bases 1-120)
Source: RNAcentral